RNAcentral lists this ribosomal RNA (253 nucleotides) under uncultured bacterium. RNAcentral describes it as "partial 16S ribosomal RNA". It matches the Rfam family "Bacterial small subunit ribosomal RNA", at positions 524 to 776 of the family's 1533-position model. The record is from RNAcentral.
UACAGAGGGUGCAAGCGUUGUUCGGAAUUAUUGGGCGUAAAGGGUGCGUAGGCGGUGCGGUAAGUCUCUUGUGAAAUCUCCGGGCUCAACCCGGAGCCUGCAAGGGAAACUGUCAAGCUUGAGUCCGGAAGAGGCGAGUGGAAUUCCUGGUGUAGCGGUGAAAUGCGCAGAUAUCAGGAGGAACACCGGUGGUGUAGACGGCUUUCUGGACCGUAACUGACGCUGAGACACGAAAGCGUGGGUAGCAAACAGG